GGACCCGCACAAGCGGUGGAGCAUGUGGUUUAAUUCGAUGCAACGCGAAAAACCUUACCUACACUUGACAUACUUCGAAUUUUCUAGAGAUAGAUUAGUGCCUUCGGGAGCGAAGAUACAGGUGCUGCAUGGCUGUCGUCAGCUCGUGUCGUGAGAUGUUGGGUUAAGUCCUAUAACGAGCGCAACCCUUACCCUUAUUUGCCAGCGGUUAGGCCGGGAACUAUAAGGGAACUGCCGGUAAUAAGCCGGAGGAAGGUGGGGACGACGUCAAGUCAUCAUGGCCCUUACGUGUAGGGCUACACACGUGCUACAAUGGGAGAUACAGACGGUUGCUAAAGCGCGAGCUGGAGCC
This 352-nucleotide ribosomal RNA is filed under the name uncultured bacterium. RNAcentral's name for it is "bacterial SSU rRNA". It matches the Rfam family "Bacterial small subunit ribosomal RNA", at positions 917 to 1269 of the family's 1533-position model. The record is from RNAcentral.